Molecule: microRNA precursor, 102 nt
Filed under: Marmota monax (woodchuck)
Lineage: Eukaryota; Metazoa; Chordata; Mammalia; Rodentia; Sciuridae
Source: RNAcentral
AGAGGGAUAGCUGGGUCAAAUGGUGGUUCCAUCCCCAAUUUCCAAGGAAUCUCCAUACUGCUUUCCAUAUUGGCUGCACCAAUUUGCAGUCCCACCAGCAGU